UCCGAGUUGACCCCGGCAGUCUCCUAUGAGUCCCCACCAUCACGUGCUGGCAACAUAGAACGAGGGUUGCGCUCGUUGCGGGACUUAACCCAACAUCUCACGACACGAGCUGACGACAACCAUGCACCACCUGUGUACCGACCUUGCGGGGAGCACAUCUCUGCACUUUUCCGGCACAUGUCAAGCCUUGGUAAGGUUCUUCGCGUUGCAUCGAAUUAAUCCGCAUGCUCCGCCGCUUGUGCGGGCCCCCGUCAAUUCCUUUGAGUUUCAACCUUGCGAUUGUACUUCCCAGGUGGAGCACUUAAUGCGUUAGCGUCGGCACUGCGGGGGUCAAUACCCACAACACCUAGUGCUCAUCGUUUACGGCGUGGACUAC
RNAcentral lists this unclassified non-coding RNA (376 nucleotides) under uncultured Micrococcales bacterium. Its description in RNAcentral is "contains 16S-23S intergenic spacer region". The record is from RNAcentral. Lineage: Bacteria; Bacillati; Actinomycetota; Actinomycetes; Micrococcales.